CAACCCACAUAUUAAUAGCGUAGGUGUUUUAUUAACUGUGCAAUAUUUUCAACACUUCCUUGCAUGCCAUUUCAUGUGGAAUAUCUUUUCUGGUCACAAAUUUGUGCAGCGAAUCUAUUUGCAUGAUCGACUCCUGGCCUGUGGGACCGUUCACUUGCACUUGAUGCUGAGUCUUUUACAUGCAUCCAUAAACUGCACAUAUGCACAUCAGAUACCUACGAGCAUUUUCAAAAUUCAAUUAUUUUAGACAACAGGCACAUAUGCAGUACUGACAUAAUAUCAAAUACGACUAAGCAGCUGGGACACAUUUUUGUUAACCAUACUCGCAGGUAAAAUAAGUGGAUCAUGUGGACAGCUCCAGCUCAUUUUCCUUAAAUCAGUGUGUACAAGGGGUAUGCAAAUAUAUUUUUUUUUCUCGCGCACCGAUUAUUUUGCUGUAUAAGCAAGAGAACCCACCACGUUAGUGUAAUGUAUCUUGUACAUCACACUAAUAUGUGCUUUAAUUUACCAAGUGAGAUGAGUUACUUCUUAUGGCUCAUUCAGUCAUAUCACACUGCAAGCUGCAUUCAUCAAUCUUCAAUUAGACUUUGCAAACGUUUAAUGAAACAUGUUUCCCUUUUAUGCAGAUAUGCAAUGGCAAGCCCUUCUGUGUGUUCCUAAGGUAAAAUUUAAGCUCUAAAUUAAAGAAGACAUUUCUAGUCAGAAACAAGCAAAAAUGGUGAAUGCAAAGUAUCAGAAGGCCAAGGUACAGAAAUUAUGAGAAGCGUCGAAUGAUUGUAAGGAAAGAAUGCUAUUUAAAAAUGCAAGACUCUUUAGUGGAAGUCAAGCAAGUCAGUAUAGGUAGAAUACUCUGCAAAAUUAUGCGAGUGAGGGGAUGUCAAACAAUGGGUCAGGAAAUGCGUUGUUUUUCUGCAAAACAAAAGCUGAUGAUUGUCAUUACAUAAGUCACUUUAGCAUCAUGAGACUGCUGCUUGAUAAAUUCAGAAAUAAACCAAAAAGCAACACACGCAAAAAUAAAAAACAAUUUAAUGAUGCUCUCUCCACACUGGGAUAAAUAAAAGACGCAUCACAUCUAAUGUGGACAUAUCAGACACCUUGUGAAACACUAAAGAAAAAAUUCAAUUUCGAGCUAUGGCACUUGCUGCAUAGAUGUGGGGGGCCUUGCACUAAUAGUGAUAGUUACCACUGCACUUAGAAAUUGGAAGCAUUCAUGCAGACAAGGAUCAUUCUUUAUAUUUUUGGCUACCACUUCAAAUGCCUCCACCAAGUGUUACAAUGCUGCAUGCAGCCAUACUAUGGAUCUUGCAGCAACACCUGCAGGUAAAAAGCAGAAGCAGUCAAAGUGCUGGUGUUAAUGGACACUAUGUUUGAAAACUUUUAGGCGAGAAGAGUGCAAGAAGCAGACAUAACAACUGCAUUUAUUUACAUAAUUCCCCAUUUGAAUGGCCUUUUCUUUUUGCUUAGACAAUGCCUACGCCUAGCCACAGCAGCUCCCUCAUACAGACUCCGCAAGCCAAGAGGCCGUGGAGGCAAAUGCAGGCAGCCAGCACACCUCGAACAGCCACCUUGACUGCGGGUGUGUCACCCUAGUCACCAAGGAAACAUUUGAGGGAAAGCGACAGGCAAUGUGAACAGCCACUUCUCCAUGUAAACUAUACUCUUUCUCUCGGAUGACUCCUACGCCUCGCCACACCAGCACACUUGUGCACAAAGAGGCCGCGGAGACACGUGCAGGUCAGAGGCAAGAAGCAGUGGCACUGGUGUCGACAGUCACCCAAUUUCUUUUUCUUACACUGAGGCAGCCAGCACACCUCGAACAGCCACCUUGACUGCGGGUGUGUCAGUAGAUUCCUGUUGUACAUAUGCUCAUAAUAAACUUCAGUAAACUUGAACUUGAUAAUAAACUUGAAGGCAAAUGGGA
RNAcentral lists this long non-coding RNA (1921 nucleotides) under Dermacentor andersoni. Its description in RNAcentral is "uncharacterized LOC126542254". The record is from RNAcentral. Lineage: Eukaryota; Metazoa; Arthropoda; Arachnida; Ixodida; Ixodidae.